This is a non-coding RNA of Dama dama (fallow deer), 307 nucleotides long. Lineage: Eukaryota; Metazoa; Chordata; Mammalia; Artiodactyla; Cervidae. The record is from the annotation of a RefSeq genome assembly.
AUGUUUUCCAGCAACAAGGCAAAGCAUCAUGAAAAAGCUAGUGGACACUGUACUGGGGCUUUUGUUUGCCCAGGUUUGCUGUGUGAGAGGGAUGGAUGUGAUGCAGAGUCCCCCAGCCCUGAGUCUCCAGGAGGGAGCCAGCUCUACUCUGCAGUGGACAAAGCAGGAAGGAAGAUUAAAUGCCACGACAGUCCCCAAAGAAGGCCGAAGCUCACUGCACAUUUCCUCUCUGUGGACCACAGACUCGGGCACUUACUUCUGUGCUGUACAGCACGGUGCUCCCCAGGCACCUGCAGCCUCUACAUGA